CCGGAGUUCCUCGGGCUGUCUCAGGACGAGGUGGAGUGCAGCGCGGACCACAUCGCACGCCCCAUCCUCAUCCUCAAGGAGACUCGGCGGCUGCCCUGGGC
Cavia porcellus (domestic guinea pig) is the source of this 101-nucleotide microRNA precursor. Lineage: Eukaryota; Metazoa; Chordata; Mammalia; Rodentia; Caviidae. The record is from Ensembl.